GUCUCCUAGCUCGAGGGUCUUGCUCUUAGCAUUUUCUCCAGAGAGUAGGUUUUCAUGCUCCAGAAUUGGGGCGGCGGGGAUGGGCGAGGAUCCAUUUGAGGGUCAUUGUCUCUUCCUUGAGAUGCACAAUAGGGAGAUGUCACAGCACUGUGGUCCAGAGAAGCACAUCGCACUGGAGGUGAUUUUCAUCACCUGCGGCUCCAUGUACUUCUUAAUACUGGAAACGAAAAAGGAUUCCCAAAUUCUAGGUCCAGCUUGAUCGAGCGCUUCCCUGGGCUCAAAUGUUCAGCUAUGAAGAUCUAGCACAGGCCACCUGCUUGCCCGCGAAAUUUUUAUCCAAGCCACAAUUCAGCAAAUUUAAACGCUGGACUCAGUUUAGCUAGUUAAAUUGGAAGCGCACAGGUCCAAAGCUUCUUCA
Molecule: long non-coding RNA, 418 nt
Organism: Selaginella moellendorffii
Lineage: Eukaryota; Viridiplantae; Streptophyta; Lycopodiopsida; Selaginellales; Selaginellaceae
Exons: 2
Source: RefSeq, a predicted model, not a curated record